CCGAGUUUACACAACUCCCAAACCCACUGUGAACCUUACCGAAUCGUUGCUUCGGCGGGACACGCCCCGGGCCCCAGCCGCCCGGAACCAGGCGCCCGCCGGAGGCCCCAAAACUCUCAUGUUUCUCCUGGCGGAAUCGAAUCUGAGUGUGCCACAGCGGCAAAGAAAAUGAAUCA
Molecule: unclassified non-coding RNA, 176 nt
Filed under: uncultured Cladobotryum
Lineage: Eukaryota; Fungi; Ascomycota; Sordariomycetes; Hypocreales; Hypocreaceae
Description: sequence contains ITS1
Source: RNAcentral